Acanthochromis polyacanthus (spiny chromis) is the source of this 350-nucleotide long non-coding RNA. RefSeq lists it as uncharacterized. The record is from RefSeq and is a predicted model, not a curated record. NCBI's taxonomy places the organism in Eukaryota, Metazoa, Chordata, Actinopteri, Pomacentridae. The transcript has 3 exons.
CCCACCACCAGCAAAGCCACGCAGCCGCCGUCGGUCAGCAGGUCUGAGCAGUAGGGCGUCGUCCCGUGAGGGCGGACCUGCAAAGACGAUGAAGAUGCAGGAUGUUGCAAAGAGGCUCGUUAAUCCCCCCUCUAAGCUGCUGUCACAUGAGGUCUAAUUGUGAGAGAACAUGAGAACCGAGAGAAUCGUGGUCUCGGCGGUCAUUAAGGAGGUCGUCGGCUAACAGAAAUGCCAUUGAGUGACAGAGGAAGCCAAACACAACCAUGACGAUGGCUGGUAUCAGGAUGGUCCCAAACACAACUGCAGCCAGGCAGGCGUUGAUGGCGGCAAUCACCAAGUUCUGAGCCGUC